AGCGAACGCUGGCGGCGUGCCUAACACAUGCAAGUCGAACGUGAAAAGGGAAACCUGAGUAAAGUGGCGUACGGGUGAGUAACGCGUAGGUAAUCUACCCCAGAAUCUGGAAUAACCUGCCGAAAGGCGGGCUAAUACUGGAUAGAGCGAGGGAACUCGUAAGAGAGUUUUUCGGGAAAGGGAGCCCGCAAGGGCCUUCGUUCUGGGAUGAGCCUGCGUCUCAUUAGCUAGUUGGUAAGGUAACGGCUUACCAAGGCGAUGAUGAGUAGCUGGUCUGAGAGGAUGAUCAGCCACACUGGAACUGAAACACGGUCCAGACUCCUACGGGAGGCAGCAGUGGGGAAUCUUGCGCAAUGGACGAAAGUCUGACGCAGCCACGCCGCGUGAGGGAAGAAGGCCUUCGGGUUGUAAAGCUCUGUCGGAUGGGACGAACAUCUUCAUAGUGAAUAGCUAUGAGGACUGACGGUACCAUCAAAGGAAGCACCGGCUAACUCCGUG
Molecule: ribosomal RNA, 498 nt
Filed under: uncultured bacterium
Lineage: Bacteria
Description: partial 16S ribosomal RNA
Rfam family: Bacterial small subunit ribosomal RNA
Source: RNAcentral